Molecule: ribosomal RNA, 759 nt
Filed under: uncultured Enterobacteriaceae bacterium
Lineage: Bacteria; Pseudomonadati; Pseudomonadota; Gammaproteobacteria; Enterobacterales; Enterobacteriaceae
Description: bacterial SSU rRNA
Rfam family: Bacterial small subunit ribosomal RNA
Source: RNAcentral
AUUGAACGCUGGCGGCAGGCUUAACACAUGCAAGUCGAGCGGCAGCGGAAAGUAGCUUGCUCCAUCGCUGGCGAGCGGCGGACGGGUGAGUAAUGUCUGGGAAACUGCAUGAUGGAGGGGGAUAACUACUGGAAACGGUAGCUAAUACCGCAUGACCUCGAAAGAGCAAAGUGGGGGAUCUUCGGACCUCACGCCAUCGGAUGUGCCCAGAUGGGAUUAGCUAGUAGGUGAGGUAAUGGCUCACCUAGGCGACGAUCCGUAGCUGGUCUGAGAGGAUGACCAGCCACACUGGAACUGAGACACGGUCCAGACUCCUACGGGAGGCAGCAGUGGGGAAUAUUGCACAAUGGGCGCAAGCCUGAUGCAGCCAUGCCGCGUGUGUGAAGAAGGCCUUAGGGUUGUAAAGCACUUUCAGCGAGGAGGAAGGCAUCAUACUUAAUACGUGUGGUGAUUGACGUUACUCGCAGAAGAAGCACCGGCUAACUCCGUGCCAGCAGCCGCGGUAAUACGGAGGGUGCAAGCGUUAAUCGGAAUUACUGGGCGUAAAGCGCACGCAGGCGGUUUGUUAAGUCAGAUGUGAAAUCCCCGCGCUUAACGUGGGAACUGCAUUUGAAACUGGCAAGCUAGAGUCUUGUAGAGGGGGGUAGAAUUCCAGGUGUAGCGGUGAAAUGCGUAGAGAUCUGGAGGAAUACCGGUGGCGAAGGCGGCCCCCUGGACAAAGACUGACGCUCAGGUGCGAAAGCGUGGGGAGCAAACAGG